RNAcentral lists this ribosomal RNA (435 nucleotides) under Heliocorisa vermiculata. RNAcentral's name for it is "partial large subunit ribosomal RNA". It matches the Rfam family "Archaeal large subunit ribosomal RNA", at positions 1921 to 2592 of the family's 2987-position model. The record is from RNAcentral. Lineage: Eukaryota; Metazoa; Arthropoda; Insecta; Hemiptera; Corixidae.
GUCCUUUUGAUUUUUAUUUAAGGUCUGACCUGCCCACUGAUUUAUUUAAUGGCCGCGGUAUUUUGACCGUGCAAAGGUAGCAUAAUAAUUUGUCUUUUAAUUGAAGGCUUGUAUGAAUGGUUGGACGAGAAAAUUACUUUCUUUAUAAUAUAUUUAUUAAUUUUAUUUUUUAGUUAAAAAGCUAAAAUAUUGUUGUAGGACGAGAAGACCCUAUAGAACUUUAUAUUUAUAGGUGUGUUGAUAUUUUUGGUUAAUUAUAUAUUUUAUAUUUAUAAAUAUUUUGUUGGGGCGACAAGAAAAUUUAUUUAACUUUUUUUAUUUUAUUUCACUAAUUAGUGUUUUUAUGAUCCUUUAUUAAGGAUAAUUAGAAUAAGUUACCUUAGGGAUAACAGCGUAAUUUUUUUGGAGAGUUCUUAUCGAUAAAAAAGUUUGCGA